UGGCGGCAGGCUUAGCACAUGCAAGUCGAGCGGGGAAGGUAGCUUGCUACCUGACCUAGCGGCGGACGGGUGAGUAAUACUUAGGAAUCUGCCUAUUAGUGGGGGACAACGUUUCGAAAGGGACGCUAAUACCGCAUACGCCCUACGGGGGAAAGCAGGGGAUCACUUGUGACCUUGCGCUAAUAGAUGAGCCUAAGUCGGAUUAGCUAGUUGGUGGGGUAAAGGCCUACCAAGGCGACGAUCUGUAGCGGGUCUGAGAGGAUGAUCCGCCACACUGGGACUGAGACACGGCCCAGACUCCUACGGGAGGCAGCAGUGGGGAAUAUUGGACAAUGGGGGGAACCCUGAUCCAGCCAUGCCGCGUGUGUGAAGAAGGCCUUAUGGUUGUAAAGCACUUUAAGCGAGGAGGAGGCUCCUAUAGAUAAUACCUAUAGUGAGUGGACGUUACUCGCAGAAUAAGCACCGGCUAACUCUGUGCCAGCAGCCGCGGUAAUACAGAGGGUGCAAGCGUUAAUCGGAUUUACUGGGCGUAAAGCGUACGUAGGCGGCUAAUUAAGUCGGAUGUGAAAUCCCCGAGCUCAACUUGGGAAUUGCAUUCGAUACUGGUUAGCUAGAGUAUGGGAGAGGAUGGUAGAAUUCCAGGUGUAGCGGUGAAAUGCGUAGAGAUCUGGAGGAAUACCGAUGGCGAAGGCAGCCAUCUGGCCUAAUACUGACGCUGAGGUACGAAAGCAUGGGGAGCAAACAGGAUUAGAUACCCUGGUAGUCCAUGCCGUAAACGAUGUCUACUAGCCGUUGGGGCCUUUGAGGCUUUAGUGGCGCAGCUAACGCGAUAAGUAGACCGCCUGGGGAGUACGGUCGCAAGACUAAAACUCAAAUGAAUUGACGGGGGCCCGCACAAGCGGUGGAGCAUGUGGUUUAAUUCGAUGCAACGCGAAGAACCUUACCUGGUCUUGACAUAGUAAGAACUUUCCAGAGAUGGAUUGGUGCCUUCGGGAACUUACAUACAGGUGCUGCAUGGCUGUCGUCAGCUCGUGUCGUGAGAUGUUGGGUUAAGUCCCGCAACGAGCGCAACCCUUUUCCUUAUUUGCCAGCGGGUUAAGCCGGGAACUUUAAGGAUACUGCCAGUGACAAACUGGAGGAAGGCGGGGACGACGUCAAGUCAUCAUGGCCCUUACGACCAGGG
RNAcentral lists this ribosomal RNA (1183 nucleotides) under Acinetobacter sp. R28. RNAcentral's name for it is "bacterial SSU rRNA". It matches the Rfam family "Bacterial small subunit ribosomal RNA", at positions 37 to 1213 of the family's 1533-position model. Lineage: Bacteria; Pseudomonadati; Pseudomonadota; Gammaproteobacteria; Moraxellales; Moraxellaceae. The record is from RNAcentral.